GUAAAAGUUCGUUUUGGUAAUGCAUGGGAAGUUCACUAAGCUCUAUUUAUACAAGCUCUACAAAAAGCAGUUGUGAAAGUCAAGUUCAUGAAUAUGAUGGAUGUGCUCUAACUGGGAAUACACAAAAGCCAAAAAGUCAGACUUCAGAAAAAUAUUACUUGGCAAAUGAACUAGAAUGUUCUGUGACCACAGUUCAAAUAUGCUGGUUUUCCGAAAAAUGUUCAGGACAUCCAAUUAUAUUCCCAAGCCUUCCAGUUCAUUUGCAAGACUAG
This 272-nucleotide long non-coding RNA is filed under the name Parus major (Great Tit). RNAcentral's name for it is "lncRNA (ENSPMJG00000000834.1)". The record is from RNAcentral. Lineage: Eukaryota; Metazoa; Chordata; Aves; Passeriformes; Paridae.